GGAGGCUGGCGGCGGACGAAGCCCUCACUAAUCCGGUCAGAUCCGGAAGGAAGCAGCCGUAAUGAGAUUGUUUCGGGUCGUCUAACCAACCUCCCAC
This 97-nucleotide signal recognition particle RNA is filed under the name Alphaproteobacteria bacterium. Its description in RNAcentral is "signal recognition particle sRNA small type". It matches the Rfam family "Bacterial small signal recognition particle RNA". From Rfam's summary of the family: The signal recognition particle (SRP) is a universally conserved ribonucleoprotein involved in the co-translational targeting of proteins to membranes. Archaeal SRP consists of a 7S RNA and homologues of the eukaryotic SRP19 and SRP54 proteins. Lineage: Bacteria; Pseudomonadati; Pseudomonadota; Alphaproteobacteria. The record is from RNAcentral.